This 521-nucleotide ribosomal RNA is filed under the name uncultured bacterium. RNAcentral describes it as "bacterial SSU rRNA". It matches the Rfam family "Bacterial small subunit ribosomal RNA", at positions 27 to 518 of the family's 1533-position model. The record is from RNAcentral.
GGACGAACGCUGGCGGCGUGCCUAAUACAUGCAAGUCGAACGGUCUUUCUAUGGAAGCUUGCUCCACUGAGAAGAUAGUGGCGAACGGGUGAGUAACACGUGGGUAACCUGCCCAUAAGGAGGGGGAUAACAUCCGGAAACGGGUGCUAAUACCGCAUAGUUUUCUUGAUCGCAUGAUUGAGAAAGGAAAGACGGCCUUUGUGCUGUCGCUUAUGGAUGGACCCGCGGCGUAUUAGUUAGUUGGUGAGGUAACGGCUCACCAAGACGAUGAUACGUAGCCGACCUGAGAGGGUGAUCGGCCACAUUGGGACUGAGACACGGCCCAAACUCCUACGGGAGGCAGCAGUAGGGAAUCUUCCGCGAUGGACGAAAGUCUGACGGAGCAACGCCGCGUGAGUGAAGGUAAAGGGUUUUCGGAUCGUAAAACUCUGUUGUCAGAGAAGAACAAGUUGGAGAGUAACUGCUCCAGCCUUGACGGUAUCUGACCAGAAAGCCACGGCUAACUACGUGCCAGCCGCUGC